This 476-nucleotide ribosomal RNA is filed under the name uncultured bacterium. Its description in RNAcentral is "bacterial SSU rRNA". It matches the Rfam family "Bacterial small subunit ribosomal RNA", at positions 328 to 793 of the family's 1533-position model. The record is from RNAcentral.
CAUCGAGACUCCUACGGGAGGGCAGCAGUGGGGGUAAUAUUGCACAAUGGGGGAAACCCUGAUGCAGCCAUGCCGCGUGUGUGAAGAAGGCCUUCGGGUUGUAAAGCACUUUCAGUAGGGAGGAAGGUAGUGUAGUUAACACCUGCACUAUUUGACGUUACCUACAGAAGAAGCACCGGCUAACUCCGUGCCAGCAGCCGCGGUAAUACGGAGGGUGCGAGCGUUAAUCGGAAUUACUGGGCGUAAAGCGCAUGCAGGCGGCCUGUUAAGUCAGAUGUGAAAGCCCCGGGGCUUAACCUCGGAAUUGCAUUUGAAACUGGCAGGCUAGAGUCUUGUAGAGGGGGUAGAAUUUCAGGUGUAGCGGUGAAAUGCGUAGAGAUCUGAAGGAAUACCAGUGGCGAAGGCGGCCCCCUGGACAAAGACUGACGCUCAGAUGCGAAAGCGUGGGGAGCAAACAGGAUUAGAUACCCUGGUAG